This 22-nucleotide non-coding RNA is filed under the name Arabidopsis thaliana (thale cress). The record is from RNAcentral. Lineage: Eukaryota; Viridiplantae; Streptophyta; Magnoliopsida; Brassicales; Brassicaceae.
UUGCCAAGAGUAGAAUUCAGAC